GACGAACGCUGGCGGCGUGCUUAACACAUGCAAGUCGAACGAAGAGCGAUGGAAGCUUGCUUCUAUCAAUCUUAGUGGCGAACGGGUGAGUAACGCGUAAUCAACCUGCCCUUCAGAGGGGGACAACAGUUGGAAACGACUGCUAAUACCGCAUACGAUCUAACCUCGGCAUCGAGGAAAGAUGAAAGGUGGCCUCUAUGUAUAAGCUAUCACUGAAGGAGGGGAUUGCGUCUGAUUAGCUAGUUGGAGGGGUAACGGCCCACCAAGGCGAUGAUCAGUAGCCGGUCUGAGAGGAUGAACGGCCACAUUGGGACUGAGACACGGCCCAGACUCCUACGGGAGGCAGCAGUGGGGAAUCUUCCGCAAUGGACGAAAGUCUGACGGAGCAACGCCGCGUGAGUGAUGACGGCCUUCGGGUUGUAAAGCUCUGUUAAUCGGGACGAAAGGCCUUCUUGCGAAUAGGGAGAAGGAUUGACGGUACCGGAAUAGAAAGCCACGGCUAACUACGUG
RNAcentral lists this ribosomal RNA (510 nucleotides) under uncultured bacterium. RNAcentral's name for it is "partial 16S ribosomal RNA". It matches the Rfam family "Bacterial small subunit ribosomal RNA", at positions 28 to 507 of the family's 1533-position model. The record is from RNAcentral.